GGGUCAGCAAGUUGGUCGUGCCACUGGUAUGCACUGGCUUUGCUGAUUCCUCCUUCUUGUAGAACCGUAAUGCCAUUUAGUUGGUGUUGCGGGGAAACAGGACUGUUACUUUGAAAAAAUUAGAGUGCUUAAAGCAGGCUAACGCUUGAAUACAUUAGCAUGGAAUAACGGAAUAGGACGCUUGAUUCUAUUUUGUUGGUUUCUAGGAUCAACGUA
RNAcentral lists this ribosomal RNA (216 nucleotides) under uncultured fungus. RNAcentral's name for it is "partial small subunit ribosomal RNA". The stretch from base 39 to 216 matches the Rfam family "Eukaryotic small subunit ribosomal RNA", at positions 685 to 864 of the family's 1831-position model. Lineage: Eukaryota; Fungi. The record is from RNAcentral.